ACAGCGACCCUAACAAAAGCAUUGACUGGUUCUGCCUGCAGUAAGUGCUUUUUUUAAGGUAGCUUUU
Molecule: microRNA precursor, 67 nt
Filed under: Salmo salar (Atlantic salmon)
Lineage: Eukaryota; Metazoa; Chordata; Actinopteri; Salmoniformes; Salmonidae
Description: miR-430 microRNA precursor family
Rfam family: miR-430 microRNA precursor family
Source: Rfam by way of RNAcentral